This 769-nucleotide ribosomal RNA is filed under the name Pseudochattonella verruculosa. Its description in RNAcentral is "partial large subunit ribosomal RNA". Lineage: Eukaryota; Dictyochophyceae; Florenciellales. The record is from RNAcentral.
AACUAGGCCGAGGAAAAGAAACUAACCAGGAUUCCCCCAGUAACGGCGAGUGAAGCGGGAGAAGCCCAUGCUGCCAACCGCUCCGGCGGGUUGUGCCAGGCGUGCCUGGUGAGGUCCCGGGGAGAAGUCCUUUGGAACAAGGUAUCRGAGAGGGUGACAAUCCCGUCUGUGCCUCGGGGUCCUCGCGUGAAGGCCGUGCUAAUGGAGUCGAGUUGCUUGGGAUUGCAGCUCAAAGUCGGUGGUAAAUUCCAUCGAAGGCUAAAUACGGGUGGGAGACCGAUAGCGAACAAGUACUGUGAAGGAAAGAUGAAAAGAACUUUGAAAAGAGAGUUAAAGAGUGCCUGAAAUUGCUGAGAGGGAACCGAAGGUGAUCAGUGGGGGCCGCUGCCAUUUUUCGUGUUCCGACSUCGGAGCACGCCCUGUGGCAGGGGCCCGCUCCGCGCCGUCGCGUCCGGCCGUAAGCUUGGGGCCGGGGGYGSYGGGGCGGAGGAAAUGGUCCUCUUUACCCCGUCUUGAAACACGGACCAAGGAGUCUGACACGGAUGCGAGUACGGUGGUGUCAAGCCACGGUGCGCAAUGAAAGUGACGAUCGGAUGCUUCGCGGCUGCACAAUCGACCGACCACCUGGCUGCGGCCUCGAGGUUUGAGUGGGAGCAUUCGUGCCGGGACCCGAAAGAUGGUGAACUAUGCCUGAAUAGGGCGAAGCCAGGGGAAACUCUGGUGGAGGCUCGUAGCGAUUCUGACGUGCAAAUCGAUCGUCAAAUUUGGG